Long non-coding RNA from Prunus dulcis (almond), 422 nucleotides. RefSeq lists it as uncharacterized. Lineage: Eukaryota; Viridiplantae; Streptophyta; Magnoliopsida; Rosales; Rosaceae. The record is from RefSeq and is a predicted model, not a curated record. The transcript has 3 exons.
CUUAUGUGCUUGCCACUUAUUUUAAUUCUUCUUCUGAUGAGAUUGAACAAAAAGCAGUAGAGAAACUAUCAACAAAGAGCAGUAGAGAAACUAUCAAUGGAAAAGAGAUUGACUUGGAGGAGUUGGGAGGUAGAUUAGACCAAGCCCAAAUACAAAAGCACUAUAAGAUAACUAGCGUGGAACUAGGGAUAUCUUCUGUUGCUGAUGCCAUUACUUGAUGGAUUGCCUAUCGUGAUGCCUUGUGAGAAGAAUGAGGUUCAUGUUCUGGGAAUUUAGAGCUUCAUUUGAAGGUGGCCAAGGAAACAGAAAACCUGUAGCUUACUAUUCUUGUUUUAGCAAUUUCAAUUGUCCAGUGUUAUAUGUAAGUAUACUUGUAGGCAAAGGUGAAAUUUGGAAAACGUGAUUAUGCUACCUAUACCCAG